GCUGCAUAAGUUUUCCCCUCAAAGUUAACAUGCACGACAGAACAUUCAGCCAAGCGGAUACAUUUUCAAUUUCUCGCCUGUUGUCUUUCAGCCUCUCGGCAGCGUGUGUGGCUGGCUACGUGUGGGGAUGCUGCAGAUUGCUGCGCCUUGCCAGUAAAAUCUACCACAAAACCUGGACUGGAUUUCAGUCUGCAGGUGAUGUACAGUUGGUUUAGCCUUUUCUCUGAAAACGGCUACCUGCUGCUGCUGCAAACAACGUGACAGUGGUGAUUGGCCAAGUCUGUCUGUAAAGCACGAAACCCCACACCUAGAAAGACCAAAUGCAUGUCUUAAUGAAGCUUAGAAAGGAAAGGUGAAUGGGACAGAAACAACAGUUACAGAUGUCUACCUCCAAAGCUCAUUACAGCACUAGACGGAUUAGAGACAAGAUGGUCCUUUGCACAUGUUUUCUUCCCAUUGGCCCGGGGUCCCUGGCUGACAGUGCUGCAGGUAUUACAUAUAAAGGUGCUCUCUUCCUGCACUAGGUUUCACCUCCGGCCUUGCAUACUGAAGAGAGGAGACUGGAUAGGAGAGACUGUAGGGGAUAAACAAUACAAGAGGAGGAGCAGGUCUGCAUGAAUGCUUUUUACCUUCAGU
This is a long non-coding RNA of Micropterus dolomieu (smallmouth bass), 636 nucleotides long. RefSeq lists it as uncharacterized. The record is from RefSeq and is a predicted model, not a curated record. Lineage: Eukaryota; Metazoa; Chordata; Actinopteri; Centrarchiformes; Centrarchidae. The transcript is spliced from 5 exons.